Molecule: ribosomal RNA, 459 nt
Filed under: uncultured bacterium
Lineage: Bacteria
Description: partial 16S ribosomal RNA
Rfam family: Bacterial small subunit ribosomal RNA
Source: RNAcentral
CCUAGGGGAGGCAGCAGUGAGGAAUAUUGGUCAAUGGGCGUAAGCCUGAACCAGCCAAGUCGCGUGAGGGAUGAAGGUUCUAUGGAUCGUAAACCUCUUUUAUAAGGGAAUAAAGUGCGGGACGUGUCCCGUUUUGUAUGUACCUUAUGAAUAAGGAUCGGCUAACUCCGUGCCAGCAGCCUCGGUAAUACGGAGGAUCCGAGCGUUAUCCGGAUUUAUUGGGUGUAAAGGGUGCGCAGGCGGCGUGUCAAGUCAGCGGUAAAAUGUCGGGGCUCAACCCCGGCCGGCCGUUGAAACUGGCGUGCUCGAGUUGGAGAGAAGUAUGCGGAAUUCGUGGUGUAGCGGUGAAAUGCAUAGAUAUCACGAAGAACCCCGAUUGCGAAGGCAGCAUACUGGCUCCACACUGACGCUGAGGCACGAAAGCGUGGGUAUCGAACAGGAUUAGAUACCCUGGUAGUC